RNAcentral lists this ribosomal RNA (474 nucleotides) under Triticum aestivum (bread wheat). Its description in RNAcentral is "partial small subunit ribosomal RNA". Lineage: Eukaryota; Viridiplantae; Streptophyta; Magnoliopsida; Poales; Poaceae. The record is from RNAcentral.
AUGAGCAGCGGCGGGCAUCUGUCGGUGUGCCGGAGUACAGCGGCGGGCUUCUGUGGUGUGCUGGAGUGCGCGGAUGACGAAAGCAGCGGAGGCAGCGGCCACGACCGUGCCCUCCUCUGCGCUUCCUCUCCAAAUACCCUCGGCUUCCGCACGGUGGAGACGGGUACACGGACUAGGCAGGCCACGGGACGACGGCUGGUCGAGCACCCACCGCAGCGAGGAGAGAUCGAGUACAACUCCCAGUUCAUGGAGGGGAUGCUGAUACAGGCCGAGCAGGCACCGGCAACACAUGAGCAGGAGGAGGAGCCCUUCCCAGGCUCGCGGGCCCGCUGCGAUGAAGCCGCCAGAGGAAGACCUGGACGACGACUGCUAGCCGAGGAGCCCCAAAGAAUUUCCCCAAACUUUCCUGUGCCUCCGCCCCCUCUUGAUUCAGUUGAGGGAGUACUCCUUGCUUCGAGAAGUACUUUUGAUUAA